GACGAACGCUGGCGGCGUGCUUAACACAUGCAAGUCGAACGGAAAGGCCCUGCUUUUGUGGGGUGCUCGAGUGGCGAACGGGUGAGUAACACGUGAGUAACCUGCCCUUGACUUUGGGAUAACUUCAGGAAACUGGGGCUAAUACCGGAUAGGAGCUCCUGCUGCAUGGUGGGGGUUGGAAAGUUUCGGCGGUUGGGGAUGGACUCGCGGCUUAUCAGCUUGUUGGUGGGGUAGUGGCUUACCAAGGCUUUGACGGGUAGCCGGCCUGAGAGGGUGACCGGGCACAUUGGGACUGAGGUACGGCCCAGACUCCUACGGGAGGCAGCAGUGGGGAAUAUUGCACAAUGGGCGGAAGCCUGAUGCAGCAACGCCGCGUGCGGGAUGACGGCCUUCGGGUUGUAAACCGCUUUCGCCUGUGACGAAGCGUGAGUGACGGUAAUGGGUAAAGAAGUACCGGCUAACUACGUG
RNAcentral lists this ribosomal RNA (468 nucleotides) under uncultured bacterium. RNAcentral describes it as "partial 16S ribosomal RNA". It matches the Rfam family "Bacterial small subunit ribosomal RNA", at positions 28 to 507 of the family's 1533-position model. The record is from RNAcentral.